Molecule: ribosomal RNA, 809 nt
Filed under: uncultured archaeon
Lineage: Archaea
Description: bacterial SSU rRNA
Rfam family: Archaeal small subunit ribosomal RNA
Source: RNAcentral
ACUGCUCAGUAACACGUGGCUAAUCUGCCCUUGGGACCGGAACACCCCCGGGAAACUGGGGCUAAUUCUCGAUAGGUGAAGAACUCUGGAAUGAGUCUUUGCCGAAAAGUUGUCAGGGUUAUGCUCUCUGAUAACGCCCAAGGAUGAGGCCGCGACCGAUCAGGUUGUUGGUGAGGUAAUGGCUCACCAAGCCUUUUACCGGUGCGGGCCGUGAGAGCGGGAGCCCGGAGAUGGGCACUGAGACAAGGGCCCAGGCCCUACGGGGCGCAGCAGUCGCGAAAACUUUGCAAUACACGAAAGUGUGACAGGGCUAUCCCGAGUGCCAUCCGCUGAGGAAGGCUCUUACCCAGUCUAGAGCGCUGGGGGAAUAAGGAGAGGGCAAGUCUGGUGUCAGCCGCCGCGGUAAUACCAGCUCUCCGAGUGGUGUGGAUGUUUAUUGGGCCUAAAGCAUCCGUAGCUGGCUAAGUUAGUCCCUUGUUAAAUCCACCGAAUUAAUCGUUGGAUUGCGGGGGAUACUGCUUGGCUAGGGGACGAGAGAGGCAGACGGUAUUUCCGGGGUAGGGGUGAAAUCCUAUAAUCCCGGGAAGACCACCAGUGGCGAAGGCUGUCUGCUAGAACGCGCCCGACGGUGAGGGAUGAAAGCUGGGGGAGCGAACCGGAUUAGAUACCCGGGUAGUCCCAGCUGUAAACGAUGCAGGCUAGGUGUUUGGACGGCCACGUGCCGUUCUAGUGCCGCAGGGAAGCUGUUAAGCCUGCCGCCUGGGGAGUACGAUCGCAAGAUUGAACUUAAAGGAAUUGGCGGGGGAGCA